RNAcentral lists this ribosomal RNA (1529 nucleotides) under Escherichia coli STEC_DG131-3. RNAcentral describes it as "bacterial SSU rRNA". It matches the Rfam family "Bacterial small subunit ribosomal RNA". The record is from RNAcentral. Lineage: Bacteria; Pseudomonadati; Pseudomonadota; Gammaproteobacteria; Enterobacterales; Enterobacteriaceae.
AGAGUUUGAUCAUGGCUCAGAUUGAACGCUGGCGGCAGGCCUAACACAUGCAAGUCGAACGGUAACAGGAAGAAGCUUGCUUCUUUGCUGACGAGUGGCGGACGGGUGAGUAAUGUCUGGGAAACUGCCUGAUGGAGGGGGAUAACUACUGGAAACGGUAGCUAAUACCGCAUAACGUCGCAAGACCAAAGAGGGGGACCUUCGGGCCUCUUGCCAUCGGAUGUGCCCAGAUGGGAUUAGCUUGUUGGUGGGGUAACGGCUCACCAAGGCGACGAUCCCUAGCUGGUCUGAGAGGAUGACCAGCCACACUGGAACUGAGACACGGUCCAGACUCCUACGGGAGGCAGCAGUGGGGAAUAUUGCACAAUGGGCGCAAGCCUGAUGCAGCCAUGCCGCGUGUAUGAAGAAGGCCUUCGGGUUGUAAAGUACUUUCAGCGGGGAGGAAGGGAGUAAAGUUAAUACCUUUGCUCAUUGACGUUACCCGCAGAAGAAGCACCGGCUAACUCCGUGCCAGCAGCCGCGGUAAUACGGAGGGUGCAAGCGUUAAUCGGAAUUACUGGGCGUAAAGCGCACGCAGGCGGUUUGUUAAGUCAGAUGUGAAAUCCCCGGGCUCAACCUGGGAACUGCAUCUGAUACUGGCAAGCUUGAGUCUCGUAGAGGGGGUAGAAUUCCAGGUGUAGCGGUGAAAUGCGUAGAGAUCUGGAGGAAUACCGGUGGCGAAGGCGGCCCCCUGGACGAAGACUGACGCUCAGGUGCGAAAGCGUGGGGAGCAAACAGGAUUAGAUACCCUGGUAGUCCACGCCGUAAACGAUGUCGACUUGGAGGUUGUGCCCUUGAGGCGUGGCUUCCGGAGCUAACGCGUUAAGUCGACCGCCUGGGGAGUACGGCCGCAAGGUUAAAACUCAAAUGAAUUGACGGAGGCCCGCACAAGCGGUGGAGCAUGUGGUUUAAUUCGAUGCAACGCGAAGAACCUUACCUGGUCUUGACAUCCACGGAAGUUUUCAGAGAUGAGAAUGUGCCUUCGGGAACCGUGAGACAGGUGCUGCAUGGCUGUCGUCAGCUCGUGUUGUGAAAUGUUGGGUUAAGUCCCGCAACGAGCGCAACCCUUAUCCUUUGUUGCCAGCGGUCCGGCCGGGAACUCAAAGGAGACUGCCAGUGAUAAACUGGAGGAAGGUGGGGAUGACGUCAAGUCAUCAUGGCCCUUACGACCAGGGCUACACACGUGCUACAAUGGCGCAUACAAAGAGAAGCGACCUCGCGAGAGCAAGCGGACCUCAUAAAGUGCGUCGUAGUCCGGAUUGGAGUCUGCAACUCGACUCCAUGAAGUCGGAAUCGCUAGUAAUCGUGGAUCAGAAUGCCACGGUGAAUACGUUCCCGGGCCUUGUACACACCGCCCGUCACACCAUGGGAGUGGGUUGCAAAAGAAGUAGGUAGCUUAACCUUCGGGAGGGCGCUUACCACUUUGUGAUUCAUGACUGGGGUGAAGUCGUAACAAGGUAACCGUAGGGGAACCUGCGGUUGGAUCACCU